AGCGAACGCUGGCGGUAGGCUUAACACAUGCAAGUCGAACGGCAACACAGUAAUAGCUUGCUCUUACGGGUGGCGAGUGGCGGACGGGUGAGGAAUACAUCGGAAUCUACUUUUUCGUGGGGGAUAACGAAGCGAAACUUACGCUAAUACCGCAUACGACCUACGGGUGAAAGCAGGGGAUCUUCGGACCUUGUGCGAUUGAAUGAGCCGAUGUCGGAUUAGCUAGUUGGCGGGGUAAAGGCCCACCAAGGCGACGAUCCGUAGCUGGUCUGAGAGGAUGAUCAGCGACACUGGAACUGAGACACGGUCCAGGCUCCUACGGGAGGGAGCAGUGGGGAAUAUGGGACAAUGGGCGCAAGCCUGAUCCAGCCAGACCGCGUGGGUGAAGAAGGCCUUCGGGUUGUGAUGCCCUUUUGUUGGUAAAGAAAAGCAGCAGGUUAAGACCCCGCUGUUCUGACGGUACCCGAAGAAUAAGCACCGGCUAACUUCGUG
RNAcentral lists this ribosomal RNA (492 nucleotides) under uncultured bacterium. RNAcentral describes it as "partial 16S ribosomal RNA". It matches the Rfam family "Bacterial small subunit ribosomal RNA", at positions 29 to 507 of the family's 1533-position model. The record is from RNAcentral.